Molecule: ribosomal RNA, 564 nt
Filed under: Rotylenchus robustus
Lineage: Eukaryota; Metazoa; Nematoda; Chromadorea; Rhabditida; Hoplolaimidae
Description: eukaryotic LSU rRNA
Rfam family: Eukaryotic large subunit ribosomal RNA
Source: RNAcentral
CGGACAGAGCUGGCGUAUCUGGCCUGUAUUCAGCCGUGCGUCCGUUGGCGUCAGGGAUGCCGCUCUCCAGAUUGGGACGGUGGCCUGUCUGCUGGCGGAUGUGUGGUGCAUUUGCAGGUGGAGUGCGCUGAGGCACUCGGGUCAGCGGCAUGAGCUCAGUGUUGAGGCCAGCCCCUCACGGGGUCUGGUACCCGCAUUGUGGGGAGUGCUGUUUGUCCUGGGUGUGUGGAGGGCAAUGGUUUCGGGUUCGUGUGGGUGCCGAGCUGGCAGUCGGUGGCGGUCGCGUGCGACACGUGCCAGCGGUCAGUUCGGUCCUGCUCGAGCUCUCAUCUGCUCGUCCUCGGUGUAAAAGCCGGUCAUCUGUCCGACCCGUCUUGAAACACGGACCAAGGAGUUUAGCGUGUGCGCGAGUCAUUGGGCGUUGAAAACCCAAAGGCGCAAUGAAAGUGAAGGUCUCCCCUGCGGAGCUGAUGUGUGAUCCUGGGCACUGCGGUGCACACCGGGCGCAACAUAGUCCCGUCCCGAUCGCUUGCGAUGGGGCGGAGACAGAGCGUACGCGCUGAG